This 497-nucleotide ribosomal RNA is filed under the name uncultured bacterium. RNAcentral describes it as "partial 16S ribosomal RNA". It matches the Rfam family "Bacterial small subunit ribosomal RNA", at positions 28 to 507 of the family's 1533-position model. The record is from RNAcentral.
GAUGAACGCUGGCGGCGUGCCUAAUACAUGCAAGUCGAGCGAACAGAUAAGGAGCUUGCUCCUUUGACGUUAGCGGCGGACGGGUGAGUAACACGUGGGUAACCUAUCUAUAAGACUGGAAUAACUCCGGGAAACCGGGGCUAAUGCCGGAUAACAUGUUGAACCGCAUGGUUCUACAGUGAAAGGCGGCUUUGCUGUCACUUAUAGAUGGACCCGCGCCGUAUUAGCUUGUUGGUGAGGUAACGGCUCACCAAGGCAACGAUACGUAGCCGACCUGAGAGAGGGAUCGGCCACACUGGAAGUGAGACACGGACCAGACGCCUACGGGAGGCAGCAGUAGGGAAUCUUCCGCAAUGGGCGAAAGCCUGACGGAGCAACGCCGCGUGAGUGAUGAAAGUCUUCGGAUCGUAAAACUCUGUUAUUAGGGAAGAACAAAUGCGUAAGUAACUGUGCGCGUCUUGACGGUACCUAAUCAGAAAGCCACGGCUAACUACGUG